Long non-coding RNA from Cucurbita moschata (crookneck pumpkin), 1108 nucleotides. RefSeq lists it as uncharacterized. Lineage: Eukaryota; Viridiplantae; Streptophyta; Magnoliopsida; Cucurbitales; Cucurbitaceae. The record is from RefSeq and is a predicted model, not a curated record. The transcript is spliced from 2 exons.
AUAAUAAAAAAUUAGAUAACAUGAAAGCAAGUAGAAAGAGUUUGAAACAGAAUAUGUAGCUACAUACUACACGUCUUGGACAAACAUGAUCGUAAAUAUGUAACCAUAUGCAACACACCUGGAACAAGUAAUGACCGUGACACUAGCCCUUAGAUAGGAGGGAACUGUAUGAGACUGUGGCGGGCUUUACUGAGCAGCGUCACCUCUGCUCCAUUAGAUGGAAGGAUAGUGUUGACGGGUUCUUUCUAGCCCAAUAGUGCCUCGACAGACACUUUUUAUAUAAGAGUGAGGUAAUUUUAUGAACGAAAAGAUAUCAGCGACCAGACUUCAUUGACUAAUACAAGUUGAUGCCCAUUAGCCAAAAGUCUUCUCGAUUACCUAUUUUUCUAUGUUUUUUACCUUGAAAGUGCAGCCCUCCCCACAUGUCUAUUGGGUUAGUUAAUAUGUAUUAAUACACCACCAAAAUCUCUCUAAACCCAUUCAAGUUUUGAGCUUUAUUUCCUCUGCAACCAGAAAUUAAUGGCUUCCCCAAGCGCCUUUGUUCCUUGGAAGGAGGUAGUCUUCUUCGCUUUGCUUCUUCUGGCUUUCAACGUUUCCGCUAGGGAACUUGUUGGAACCAACAUUGUGGCUCGCACUAUGAGAUGACAAUAGAGACGAAUGUGGGCAGGAGAUUGAUUGCAAGACAGUUGGAUACCUCUUGGGGAGGAAAUUAUUCUCCUCCUCCCCCUCGUCGUCCUCCUCCUCGGCCUCCUUGUCGUUAUACUCCUCGUCCUUCUCUUCCUCGUUCUCGUCCCGGUUCCCGUCCUCUUCCUCCACGCUGAUCCUCCAAGGGAAAAAAUUUGAAUUGUUUGUGUGUUUUAUCUUUAAUUCCCUUUGUUUUAGCAUGUUUAGAUUUGGAGGAUAAGGAUAUUUACAAGUAAAGUCCUAUGAACUUUCUUUUUUCUUUAAUGGUGUUGUGUGAUUUUGGUCAAGCCAUAGGCGCAAGCCCUCUGGAGUUAAUGACUCAUAUCUUUCUAAACAAUGUUAGUUCAAUUAUGAGAGCUCAAACUUUAUAGAGUUUUGAUAUUAUUCUAUACAGCUUUAGUUUUAAAACUCUACGAAUUUCAUA